UUUUCAACCCAACUUGGGUUGUUUUUAACCCAGCAUUAUUUAAAGAGUACAGAUCAUAACAUCUGAGAUAUUAAUAUCAUAUUAAAAAACACCAUAUCUAUUUUACUUCACUUCAUUAACAUAAAGCAAAACAGAUAAAAUGAUUAUUCAAAAAUGUGAAUUCUGAUUAAUUAUAAACUUAAUACAUAAGCUUAUUAUAAUAAUUUCCCCAUAUUAAUUCAAUACCUCACACGCUUGCUUUACAACAUACAAGAUGAAAAAACGAUAAAGAUGUGCAAACAUGUACAAAAGCAACUAUAACAAACACAUUUAACAUCUGAGAUAUCAGUAGAUUAAAAACAUGUUUAUUUUUAUAUUUUAUAGUUUACUCCAAUUUAUUAACACCAAAAGCGAAAACUAAGAGUUAAAAAAUGUGAAUUCUGAUAAAUUAAUAACACACUACAAAGAUAAGCCUAUACAAUAAUAUUAAUAACAACAUGUUGGAGUUGUUGACAGUGUGGGCUGCAGCGAGGCAGCGGAUUGGCGGACGCAGAGCGGAAGUAGUUUGUUCAUGCUAAUGAAGGAGUCGCGCUUGUGGAUAUUUACGUUCGUCGGGAGCCGCCCUUCAUUCACCACAUGGUUAAAAGCGGAGCGCGUUCGCGCCACUUUCGCAAUUUUACUACGCUUUUGUAACGCUGCCCACGGCGUGCUCGGACGCGUCGCGUGCUGACGGCUGAUUCCUCCCAAGUUUGUCGUUUAGUUUCGACGCGGAGCCCGGAGCGAUGACAGCGAGCGAAGAUCCUGAGCUUCGGGACGGCGUCCGUGGAUCUGUCCGACGGCGUGUCAGCGCAGAGUCAAAGUGCUUACAGUGCAGGUAGUUCUGUUCAAUCUACUGCAGUGGAGGCACUUCAAGCUCUGCGGUCACAUGAUCGCACGCGAGCGGCGGCGGCGGCGACUACUGCUUAUGCUAAGGUGCAUUUAGUGCAGAUAGUGAAGUAGACUAGCACCUACUGCCCUAAGUGCCCCUUCUGGCAUAAGGGGCUGCAAUCCCUGCUGUUCCCACUGGCUGCUCCCGUUCCUUCCGUUUCAUGCAGUUCUCUGCUAGUUUUGCGUAGUUGCACUACAAGAAAUAUUGAGUUGUGCAAAUCUAUGCAAAACUGAUGGUGGCCUGCUUCCCCGUCUUUCCCUGCGCUUCUGGCUUCAGCGUCUCUGCUUGCGUCUCUCGCUGUCCCUCCCUCCGGUUCCAGCAGUAUUAAAGUGCUUAUAGUGCAGGUAGUUCUCGAACUCUCAUCUACUGCAGUGUGAGCACUUCAAGUACUUCUAGACGCGAGCGCCGCGGGCCGAGCCGGACCUCACGCUGCCUGUCUCUGUCUGUCUGUGCUGGUUAGUUUUGCUGGUUUGCAGUCAGCGUUCCUGUCGUUGCUGUGCAAAUCCAUGCAAAACUGAUCAUAGCAGUGAGGAGUCUCCGCUUCCCGCCGUCAGAUCCCCCAGCAUCCCUUUCUUCGCAGGUCGGGAUCGGCCGCAAUGCUCUGCGCUGGAAGUAUUGCACUUGUCCCGGCCUGUGGAGAGCGCGGGAAUCCUUCGGCUGCUCCUGUGUGCUUGUCUUCUGUUGUUGGAGUCUGAUCAUCUCAAUAAAAGUGUUGAACGUA
This is a long non-coding RNA of Megalobrama amblycephala (Wuchang bream), 1628 nucleotides long. RefSeq lists it as uncharacterized. The transcript is spliced from 2 exons. The record is from RefSeq and is a predicted model, not a curated record. NCBI's taxonomy places the organism in Eukaryota, Metazoa, Chordata, Actinopteri, Cypriniformes, Xenocyprididae.